Molecule: ribosomal RNA, 440 nt
Filed under: uncultured bacterium
Lineage: Bacteria
Description: partial 16S ribosomal RNA
Rfam family: Bacterial small subunit ribosomal RNA
Source: RNAcentral
CCUACGGGUGGCAGCAGUGGGGAAUAUUGCACAAUGGGGGAAACUCUGAUGCAGCGACGUCGCGUGAGUGAUGAAGUAAUUCGUUAUGUAAAGCUCUAUCUGUAGGGAAGAAAAUGACGGUACCUGAGUAAGAAGCCCCGGCUAACGACUGGCCAGCAGCCGCGGUACUACGGAGGGGGCAAGCGUUAUCCGGAUUUACUGGGUGUAAAGGGAGCGUAGACGGCAGUGCAAGUCUGGAGUGAAAGGCGGGGGCUCAACCCCCGGACUGCUCUUGAAACUGUACGGCUUGAGUGCAGGAGAGGUAAGUGGAAUUCCUAGUGUAGCGGUGAAAUGCGUAGAUAUUAGGAGGAACACCAGUGGCGAAGGUGGCUUACUGGACUGUAACUGACGUUGAGGCUCGAAAGCGUGGGGAGCAAACAGGAUUAGAUACCCCAGUAGUC